UUAUGAAGUUAGCGGCGGACGGGUGAGUAACACGUGGGUAACCUACCCAUAAGACUGGGAUAACUCCGGGAAACCGGGGCUAAUACCGGAUAAUAUUUUGAACUGCAUAGUUCGAAAUUGAAAGGCGGCUUCGGCUGUCACUUAUGGAUGGACCCGCGUCGCAUUAGCUAGUUGGUGAGGUAACGGCUCACCAAGGCGACGAUGCGUAACCGACCUGAGAGGGUGAUCGGCCACACUGGGACUGAGACACGGCCCACACUCCUACGGGAGGCAGCAGUAGGGAAUCUUCCGCAAUGGACGAAAGUCUGACGGAGCAACGCCGCGUGAGUGAUGAAGGCUUUCGGGUCGUAAAACUCUGUUGUUAGGGAAGAACAAGUGCUAGUUGAAUAAGCUGGCACCUUGACGGUACCUAACCAGAAAGCCACGGCUAACUACGUGCCAGCAGCCGCGGUAAUACGUAGGUGGCAAGCGUUAUCCGGAAUUAUUGGGCGUAAAGCGCGCGCAGGUGGUUUCUUAAGUCUGAUGUGAAAGCCCACGGCUCAACCGUGGAGGGUCAUUGGAAACUGGGAGACUUGAGUGCAAAAGAGGAAAGUGGAAUUCCAUGUGUAGCGGUGAAAUGCGUAUAGAUAUGGAGGAACACCAGUGGCGAAGGCGACUUUCUGGUCUGUAACUGACACUGAGGCGCGAAAGCGUGGGGAGCAAACAGGAUUACAUACCCUGGUAGUCCACGCCGUAAACGAUGAGUGCUAAGUGUUAGAGGGUUUCCGCCCUUUAGUGCUGAAGUUAACGCAUUAAGCACUCC
This 802-nucleotide ribosomal RNA is filed under the name Bacillus bingmayongensis. RNAcentral's name for it is "bacterial SSU rRNA". It matches the Rfam family "Bacterial small subunit ribosomal RNA", at positions 84 to 870 of the family's 1533-position model. Lineage: Bacteria; Bacillati; Bacillota; Bacilli; Caryophanales; Bacillaceae. The record is from RNAcentral.